UUCCGAUUGAGACRGAAUUGUGGCUCAUGGACAUCUGAUGUUGUGAUAGAGCAUACUCAGCAUCUUUAGAUUUCUUCCCUGCAACCACAGACUGACUGACAGCAAGGGCUUUUUUAAAUAUUACUGGUCAUCUCACAAGACCAUCCCUGAAGGAUCGCCCCUUUUUCCUGUAGCUCCUGGGAUGCAGCACUGAGGUGGACAGGACUACCUACUCAUAAGGCUG
Long non-coding RNA from Nothoprocta perdicaria, 223 nucleotides. RefSeq lists it as uncharacterized. Lineage: Eukaryota; Metazoa; Chordata; Aves; Tinamiformes; Tinamidae. The transcript is spliced from 3 exons. The record is from RefSeq and is a predicted model, not a curated record.